AGGGUCCGGCGCGGCCUCGCCCUGCGGCAGGCGGUGGUGCGGGGCGCGGGGCAGGGGCCUGGGCCCGGCCGCGCCUCCCCUCCCUACGCGUCGGCUGUGCGCGGAGCGGGGAUGGGUGGGGGCACCUGGCGGAAAGUGAUGCUUUCCAGCGCGGGAUAGGAAGCAGGGACGGCCCGGCAAAGGAGCGCCCCGGGGAAGCGGGGUGCUGGCGGGUCGGUGCCGGUUGGACCAGGUGGCUGUCGCCGAGGGCAGCGCGAAGCCGUGUGGGUGCAGGCGGAUGCUGAAGUAACGAGAUCUGGCCCCCGUUCUGCUCCUGACCGACACCCCCUUGGCCUGAACGGACAUAGAGGCCGUUCUGUAGCUGAGCAGGCUUGUGGAUGAGUGGUGGAUGCACACAGGGUGUGAGGGUGGCCUCGCACCAUGAAGAAGUCACAAAAAAUGGGUAAAAACCCUGUUCCUACAACCACCCGUUGACUUAAAGAUGCCUGUCACAACUAUAAGCCACAGGUUUUCAUUUACUAAUGGCCUGUUUCUUAAAUACUUUAAAUGGUACAAGGGCAAGUACCUUUACAGUAGGUUCAGCCUAGAGGUGCAGUUUCCUUCAAGAAGUGACAUGGUGAUGCCGAUGGAAUAAAUCGGUGCACAGGCCAGUUCUUCCAUCUGCCCGGUCAACACUAUCCAAUGUUCUCAAACUGAUCCUUGCUGCUUAGAGAGCUCAGUUCCCAAGGUUCCUCCCACUUGCCCUAGACUAGAAUCACGUUGCCAGUAUCACGAUAUGAUUCUGCAGGAGAAUGGUCUCAUCUUCUUCUAACGGAUUUUCAUCUUUUAAUAUCCAUAUGUGGUUCACAUCUAAGAACAGUGAUUUUAGACAGAUACUGUUCAGCUGCAGGUUGCUCAAGAGGCACCCCUCAGUCACUGCCUCUAUUCCUUUGCUACUUCUAAUACAGAUACAAGAAAUAUUGUUGCUAAAUAAAAUGGAAUGUCUUAUACUGCAGAACUAAAUUAUUUGCCUUUGUUUUUACUGGUAAGAUUUGCUUUCAGGGAUCCCAGGCCAUGGAGAUCAGUGGAAAAGUCUGGAUUUCUGAAGAAUUAAUCUCAGUCGAGGAGAGAGGAUCGAGUUAGGAAAUAUUUAAACAAAUAGAGCACACACAAGUCCAUUGGAUUUGGUGGAAUUCAUCCAUGCAUGCAGGGCUGCUCUCAAUUAUAUCUGCAAGUUCAUGGCAAUUGGAGGAGAUUCCUGGGGACUGUAAGAAAGCAAAUAUCACACAUGUCUCCCAGAAAGGCAAGAAGGAGAAGCCAGGGAACUACAAGCCUGUCAGCCUCACCUCAGUCCCUGAGAGGGUAACAGAGCAUAUCUUCAUGGAAGCUAUUUUCAAAUAUAUCAUGGACAAGAUGAUUAGGAGUUGUCAGUCUGGGUAUAGGUGCGGGAAGUCAUGCCUGACCAAUCUGGUAGCCUGUGAUGAAAUGACUGGCUUUGCAGAUGAAGGGGGAGCCGUGCAUGUUAUCUUGACUUUAGCAUAGCUUUUGACAUUGUCUGCCAUAACAUCCACAUAGGCAAGCUAAUGAAGUACAGACUAGAUAAAUGGACAGUGAGGUGGACUGAAAAUUGUCUGAACUGUUGGGCUCAAAGGGUUUGGCCUUUCACAAAGUCCAGCUGGAGGCCAGUCACUAGUGCAGCACCAUGGGAGUUGAUACUGGGGCCAGGACUGUUUAGUCUCUUUGAGGACCUGGAUGAUGGGGACAGAGUGCACCCUCAGCAAGUCUGCAGACAAUACAAAGUUGAGAGGAGUGGUUGAUAGAGCAGAUAGAUGUGCUGCCAACCAGAGGGAUCUCAACAGGCUGGAGAAAUGGGCCAACUCGUCCUGUUCCUGAACCUCAUGAAAUUCAACAAAGGUUGAAAUACCAGGUCCUGCAGCAGCUGAGGAUUAACCCCAUGCAGUAGUACAUGUUGAAGGCUGGAAAGCUGAACAAAAAGUUGACCAUGAGCCAGCAAUGUGUGCUUGCAGCAAAGAAGACCAACAGGAUCCUGGGUAUUGCCACAGGUCAAGGGAAGUAAUCCUUCCUCUCCUCACUGGUGAGAUCUCCCUUGAGUGCUGUGCCCAGUACUGGGCCCCCCAGCACAAGAGAUAGGUGCAUGUACUGGAGUAAGUUCAGGAAAGGGUCAGGAAGAGAACAGAGCAUGUGUCAUACAAGGAGAGGCUGAGACAGAUGGAUUUUUCAGCCUGGAGCAGAGAAUGCUCAGGAGAUCUUAUCAAUGUUUGUAAAUAACGAAAGGGAGGUAGUAAAAGACAACAGAAUCAGCAUUGCUGCCCAGAAAGGACAAGUGGCAAUGGGCACAAAUUGGAAGACGGGAAAUUCCAUUUAAAUAUAAGAAAUAAGUUAUUUACAGUGAGGGUGGUCAAACGCUGAAACAGGUUUCCCAGAGGAGUUGCAGAGUCUUCAGCCUCGGAGGUCCUUGAAACCCAACUGGAUAAGGUCUGAACAACCUGCUGUAGUUGACCUGCCUUUGAGCACGGUGGGGCCUGAACUAGACAAUGUGAUGAGGUCCCUUCAUGCCUCAAAUAUUACUGUUCUGUGAUUCUAUCAAAUUAAGGUAGCCAGAAAGGUUUGAGAUAAAUUCCUUCAUUUAAAAAUGGAACAUGAGGAGCCAGGUAAAACCUUGAGGUGCAUUGUUGGCCAGAAGUUUCUAUUCAAGAAUACAGGAUUUGUCCAUAUCAGGAGUGAGAUGCGUAUAAACGAACAAACGUUUGCAGAACAGACUUCAACAGUUCCUUUUCACAUUCUGUGCUAAGUUGAUAAUAGAUGUUCUCCAGAUUGGAAUUUCCAAAUGUAAAGAGACCUUUGACUGAAAAAGUCGUUUAAAAUUCUUUUCAGUUUCUGUCAAAAUCUGUUAAUUCAAGGAACCUGCUGGGAAACCCUAUGCUUCAACCAUGCACAGACUGUUAUUUUUAAUGUGUAUUUGAAGAACCUGAUCAAACUGUCAGCUCCAAGAAAUUGCAAGUUGUGGCUUUUAUGUAUACAUGCAACAAUGUCACUAAAUAAAGAGGAAAUAGCAUAAA
Long non-coding RNA from Columba livia (rock pigeon), 3059 nucleotides. RefSeq lists it as uncharacterized. The record is from RefSeq and is a predicted model, not a curated record. Lineage: Eukaryota; Metazoa; Chordata; Aves; Columbiformes; Columbidae. The transcript is spliced from 3 exons.